This 1326-nucleotide ribosomal RNA is filed under the name Triticum aestivum (bread wheat). Its description in RNAcentral is "partial small subunit ribosomal RNA". The record is from RNAcentral. Lineage: Eukaryota; Viridiplantae; Streptophyta; Magnoliopsida; Poales; Poaceae.
AUGGCAGCCACAUCCGUCGCCUCCGCCCCGCGCCCGCUCCGCGCGACGCCGCGCCGGCAUCCUUGCACGCCCUGCCGCCGCCACCACGCCGCGCCGCCCCACGCCCUCCGCAGGCCGCGCCUCUCCGUCUCGGCCUCCGCCGCCGACGAAGCCAGCAGCGCCUCGUCGCCGUCGUCUUCGCGGUUCUACUUCAACUUCACCGGCUUCCCCUUCCCGCUCGGCCCCUUCCUCAACCGCCGCACCACCCGCACCGAGGCCGUGAAGGGCAGCGUAUGGCUGUUCGAGCAGGAGCAGGCGCUGGGCUUCAGCAGCGUCUCCACCAACACCCGCAUGACCGUCGUCAGGCUCCGCUCCGGCGGGCUCUGGGUGCACGCCCCCAUCGCCCCCACCAAGGAAUGCAUCCAGCUGAUCAAGGAGCUGGGCGCGCCGGUGGAGCACAUCGUGCUGCCGACCUUCGCGUACGAGCACAAGAUCUUCCUCGGGCCCUUCUCCAGGAAGUUCCCCAGGGCGCAGGUGUGGGUGGCGCCGCGCCAGUGGAGCUGGCCCGUCAACCUGCCGCUCGAGUUCUUCGGGGUCUUCCGGUCCAAGCCCCUCGAGGACGAGGACGACGCCACGCCCUGGGCCGCCGAGAUCGAGCAGAAGGUGCUCAGCUCGCCGGAAGUUGGGAUUGGGCCGUAUGUGGAGGUGGCGUUCUACCAUAAGCCUUCCAGGACAUUGCUGGUGACGGAUGCUGUGAUUUUUGUUCCUCGGCAGCCACCCGAUUGCAUCAGCAAAGAGUCCUUGUUGGCAGCUGCCAAGAAUGGCUUGGCAGUGAAGAUAUUGAGCAAAGGGAGAGAGGUUCCUGAUGAUCCCGUUGAGGACAACAAGCUGACCCGGCAGACAGGAUGGGAGAGGAUGGUACUUCAAAUACUGUUUCUCGGCCCCUCAAAUCUUCUCGAGCCAAAUGCGAGUUUCGCUCAAAUGUCACAGAAACUGAUCGUUUCACCAAUUGUCAAGACACUCGUCUUCAGCAAAGUUCCGGAGAAGGUGAGGGACUGGGUGGACAGGAUCGCGGCGGACUGGCCGUUCCGACGGAUCAUCCCGGCGCACUUCGCCGCCCCAAUCAACGCGAGCCGGUCCGACUUCCUGGCCGCCUUCGCCUUCCUCGACGAGUUCCUCCCGGACCGCCCCGCCGCGUCGCUCGGCCUGCCCCUCAUCUUCGCCUCGCUCAUGGGCAAGGCGGCCAGCUACUUCCCGCCGGACGACAUGAAGACCCUCUCGUCGCUCGACGACUUCCUGGUCUCCGUCGGCGCAGUCAAGAAGACCGUCUCCGGAAGGAAGCGAUGA